AAAAUACAUUUCUUGGUGAGAUGCUGCUCACCAAGACAAAAUAAACAUUGAGUGUCCAUCAUUGAAAGGAACAGCCACCUCACAUAAACCAUAUUUUAAAAUGAAGGAUUUUUGAACAGCCAUGAGGCUGAAGACCCAGUACCAGGAGAAGAAAAGUUUAAAAAAAAAAAGUCACACAACUAAAGCUUACAUAAAUAUUCCCACACUAAUUAACCCAAACUAAAGAUAACUAUACAAUUUCUCCUGAAGAAGCACAAGUACAACAGAUAGGCACUGCUCUCUCUGUUCCAUCUCGCAGCCACAGGUGUUAAGGAACUGAUGGUCAUUGGCCUUGUUCCACCUUUUAUGCCCUCAGCUUGGUGGGAUAGUGCAGGCGAGGCCCAAUGGACACUACUAGCCAGAACUCCAAUUUCAAGCGUAUGCACACCAGAAGUGGAAUACAUAUAGACAAGCACUCAAAGAAUGAAAAAAGCUUCCGCUGAAACGUUGCUGCAAUUCCAUAUUUUGCCCACCAGAGGGCACUGUGGCAAUAGGACAUAGCAGCAGCUCCGGGACAGCUAGGGAAGACAAAGAACCUGCCUUCUUCACAGCUUCUUCACAGCGCCUGUAAGAUCAGAAUUCCCUCAGGAGUACAAGGGUAUAUACAGCUGUGAUGGACAAACUGCACUUGGUUCCUUCUCAAUCCCAUGUAAAAAACGAUUCUGAAGCAGGAGGGAAGGAGUGCAAGUAGUGGAGCAUCCAUGUGAACAUAAAUCUUGAAGAACUCCAGGUGUACAGAACUCCAGUGAACAAAGGGUAGCUCUUGAUUCUUCAGAGAGUGUAAGGACUCAUCUAUGGACUUGCUGAGCCCACCAAAAGGAAAGCCUUCCACUAUAUUACUCCCUUGAGAUUCCGGACAACUGCAGCCAUGAGGGUCACCACAAGACAACAGCUGUGGAGAUGGAGUGAGCUGCUAUAUCAGCUACUUUGAGGGAAACUUGUAAAGAAGUUAUUGCUAGGAGCUGGUCUUCAGUGAAGAUGGCCUUAAACUAUUCUCUGAGGGGGAUGUUCAAUAAAGGAGUUAAACUUGC
Mauremys reevesii (Reeves's turtle) is the source of this 1070-nucleotide long non-coding RNA. RefSeq lists it as uncharacterized. Lineage: Eukaryota; Metazoa; Chordata; Testudines; Geoemydidae. The record is from RefSeq and is a predicted model, not a curated record. The transcript has 4 exons.